GUUCACCCGAGCUGCACCAAGAAAAGCCCCAAAUGAAACUUCCAUCCAUACACCGGCAGGUCGCGAGAUGACACCGGGUACGCAGGCUUAUAUGAAGUGCAGUUUGCUUCAGUUUUUUAUGGGGUGAUCCACUUGGGACCACAGGGCAACCUGCGGCAUGAUGCAGCAGCAGCCCUUCUCCCAGCGCAAGCCUUCAUGGAGGGGACGCUGUCACCACAGACUUUCAUUUUGUACCCCUGAAAUGGAAGUGAAGUCUAGGAAGUAGCUGAAGAGGUGAUGAAGACUCAAUGAUGAUGUCAACUUUGCUGAAUUCUCUGAUCCCAGCACCAAGAAAAAUGGAAAAAUGUUUAAGGGACAGCCAUCAUAAAGGUAAUUAGCUUCUCCUGCUUACCUAAAAAGUCAUCGUUUGAUAGGCUGGCAUAUUUUUUUCAGAUAACAGGGUUAUAAAUGUAGUGCUUGAUCUAUAAUUGCUGGAGCUAUAUGUUUGCUUUUGUGACAGUAAAACCAAGAACCUGUUUUCUCAUGAAUGUUAGGAGUUUCAUCGGCUUAGAAUCCUAACGUGGUUAUUUCAGAUUUUAAAAUAUUUUUUCCUUUUUAACACUUUGCUUUGUAAAGAUCCUGAAUUCUUUCUUACAAUGUUAAUGAUUUCACACUUUUUAUCAUGUUAAGUGUGAAAGGUUAAGCAUCCAGACUGUAGAAAGAGCUAAAUUACUCUUGUACUAAUCACUGUCUGCUGGAGGAAAUUACUGUAUUAUGUAUUACUGUUGAGAUACUGGUGAAUCAAUAUUCAUGUAGAAGCCUGAACUCUUACAAUUUCUACAGUUUAUAACUGUUGUAUUUAAUUAGACUCUUUUCAAGGGUAAAAGAAAUGAUUAAUUGUAUUUUGUAUCUUAAAAAGUCUUUGUACACCUGGCUGGCAUGCUUUUCAUUCUCCAGAUUGUGAUGCUUAGAUAAAAUAUAUAUUCCUUAGAAUGACAGAAAUAACGCUGCCCUGUAAUUAGUACAGCACUAAUUAAUUAUCAAGUGUAUGUACUUGAACAGUUAAAUUUUUCAUUGUUGAAUUGUACCUCCAAGUUCAUCUAUGUUCUUUGAGUAGACAAAUUUUGCAAGAAAAGGCAUCUUUCCAUAACUAUUGCAAGUAAAGUAGGAAAUAUAAGUUAGAUAUUUGUCAGGUUUCACACCAAGGUCCCUGAGUACUUCUUGUUCUUGUGGAAUGAAAACAUCCCCUGCUAGUCUGGCUCUACAGCAUACAGUGUCCUUUGAUCCCAAAGGCCCAAGUCCAGAAAGCAAAAGAUAAAUAGAC
RNAcentral lists this long non-coding RNA (1303 nucleotides) under Cairina moschata (Muscovy duck). Its description in RNAcentral is "domestica (muscovy Duck (domestic type)) lncRNA (ENSCMMG00000013943.1)". Lineage: Eukaryota; Metazoa; Chordata; Aves; Anseriformes; Anatidae. The record is from RNAcentral.